This 259-nucleotide ribosomal RNA is filed under the name uncultured bacterium. Its description in RNAcentral is "partial 16S ribosomal RNA". It matches the Rfam family "Bacterial small subunit ribosomal RNA", at positions 793 to 1055 of the family's 1533-position model. The record is from RNAcentral.
GUCCACGCUGUAAACGAUGAGUGCUAACUCUGGGGCGCAAGUUCUGGGGUAAAGCUAACGCGUUAAGCACUCCGCCUGGGUAGUACGAUCGCAAGAUUAAAACUCAAAGGAAUUGACGGGGGCCCGUACAAGCGGUGGAGCAUGUGGUUUAAUUCGAUGAUAACCGGAGAACCUUACCAGCUCUUGACAUACACGUUUUGGAUACACGAAAGUGGUCCUUCAUUUAGUUGGGCGUGAACAGGUGUUGCAUGGCUGUCGU